This 210-nucleotide long non-coding RNA is filed under the name Homo sapiens (human). RNAcentral's name for it is "HSALNT0224426". The record is from RNAcentral. Lineage: Eukaryota; Metazoa; Chordata; Mammalia; Primates; Hominidae.
CAAGUUCCAGGUGGGCUCCGCAUAGUCAGCACCCAGGUACUCCACGUAGGAGGCGAAGCCCUCGUUCAGCCACAGGUCAUUCCACCACUCUAUGGUCACCAGUCCCCAGUUCUCCAUGGCGCCGGCGUUGAAGUCUGGCAGGCCAGCAAGUACGUGGACAUCUUGGGCGUGGUGUGGAACUCAGUGACAUUCCAGUUGGGGUCUUCUGGA